RNAcentral lists this long non-coding RNA (1317 nucleotides) under Apteryx owenii (little spotted kiwi). RNAcentral describes it as "lncRNA (ENSAOWG00000012252.1)". The record is from RNAcentral. Lineage: Eukaryota; Metazoa; Chordata; Aves; Apterygiformes; Apterygidae.
AUGCUGAAAGUCUGUCUGUGGUCGACUGUCGUAGAGGGGUCGGAGCUGCGCUGGGUCUGCGAUGUGGCAGGGCAGGCAGGUCCGCAGGCAAGCAGACCCCAGACGGCGGAUUUGCACCUUCCAGCCGAGGAUCCCAAUCAUCUGACAUGUAUACCAGCGAGUAUUGGGGUAGCCUCUGUUUGCUGUGAUGCCUUAGCACAAAUGGCAUGCGAGUCCCAAUGUGAGCUCCAGACCCAGCGACUGCUGGCUCCAGCAGACAGACACCAAGGUUGCCCGGAGAGAUGUGCACACACUGGAUCCAUCUAUUAAGACAGCAGGAUGUGGCUGUUGGACCCCAUUAGCAUCCCAGGAAUGUUGGGAAGAGAGACCACUYGGCAUCGGGACUGCAGGCAGCCCUACAACCGAUCUUCAUCCAGAACCACAGUCAGAAAACAUCCACCCUGCCUCCCAGUCCCUGCCAUCGCAGGCCAUCAAACAUUUGCUGUCCUAAAGUGUUAAUGUGGCUCGCAUCAGGGUGAGCAAGCGUGCGUGCAGGUAGGUGGUAGCUAUUUCUCGGAGUAGCUGGUAUCCUCAUCUAUUCUUGCUGCAACUGAGCUGUUCCAGCUCUAAUUGCCCAGAAUGGUACAAGCACUUUACGUCUCGCUCCUGUCCCUGUAACAGCGCGCCUUUGCCUGUUCCGGCUGCCAGAAGGCAGGGGUGGCCGCCCUCUGCGAGCAGGUCCUUGCACCAUACUGCAGAGCUGCUGGAAAAAAGCUCCUUGCUGGACAGAGAGCGUCUCUCUUCUGAGCAGGCUGAUUCAGUUCACAUUUGGGAGUGGGUGGGAGAGAGGAUGCUGGAGCUCGCUGGAAAGGCAUGUUUGUCGCUUAGCAACAGGGUCAGAGGAAGCCAACCAAAAGGAAGGAUUGCAGAGCCUCUCCUGGCAGCCAGGUAUCCAUGCUUGACUGCGCCGAGCAAAUCUCUCCGCGUGUACCACGCAAACCCUUUCAGAGGCAGAAACCGCCCCCCCCCCCCCGUUGCCACUCCUCCCCCCCGGCCUUGCUGCUGCCAGGCCCUGCGAUGCGGUGUGUUAUUUACUUUUUGGUGGUUUAGCUUCAUUUCAAAAGAUUACCGGGUUUCACGAUUUUGAGCUCGUGUUAAUAUAAUAACAGAUUGCAGGUGAUUAUCACUGUCAUUGUUUCUGUUGGCAGGGCACCACAGAGACACAAAAUGCAUUCGGUUCCCUCUACCUCACAGCCAGGGGAGGACUUAACUGCUCUCUAUCACGCUUGUAUUUAGCCUUGGUCCACUUGCAGCUUGAUUUCUCCUGCCAAAGAAGCA